UGUUAAAAUUUUCAUCCAUUUCUAUUGUUAAUAACUGGUAUGACUGACAGAAUAACCAAAUAGUGACAUGUGUUGUGCCACUUAUACUUCAUGUUGACGUACAGAUGCUAGUUUUUAUCAAUGGAAAUAGAUGAAAUUUUUAACA
Molecule: non-coding RNA, 145 nt
Organism: Gossypium raimondii (Peruvian cotton)
Lineage: Eukaryota; Viridiplantae; Streptophyta; Magnoliopsida; Malvales; Malvaceae
Source: Rfam